This 875-nucleotide ribosomal RNA is filed under the name Viridibacillus sp. AH7. Its description in RNAcentral is "bacterial SSU rRNA". It matches the Rfam family "Bacterial small subunit ribosomal RNA", at positions 51 to 906 of the family's 1533-position model. Lineage: Bacteria; Bacillati; Bacillota; Bacilli; Caryophanales; Caryophanaceae. The record is from RNAcentral.
AUACAUGCAAGUCGAGCGAAUGAUGAAGAAGCUUGCUUCUUCUGAUUUAGCGGCGGACGGGUGAGUAACACGUGGGCAACCUACCUAGUAGAUUGGGAUAACUCCGGGAAACCGGGGCUAAUACCGAAUAAUCCAUUUCACCUCAUGGUGAAAUGCUGAAAGGCGGUUUCGGCUGUCACUACUAGAUGGGCCCGCGGUGCAUUAGCUAGUUGGUGGGGUAAUGGCCUACCAAGGCAACGAUGCAUAGCCGACCUGAGAGGGUGAUCGGCCACAUUGGGACUGAGACACGGCCCAAACUCCUACGGGAGGCAGCAGUAGGGAAUCUUCCACAAUGGACGAAAGUCUGAUGGAGCAACGCCGCGUGAGUGAUGAAGGUUUUCGGAUCGUAAAACUCUGUUGUAAGGGAAGAACAAGUACGUUAGUAACUGAACGUACCUUGACGGUACCUUAUUAGAAAGCCACGGCUAACUACGUGCCAGCAGCCGCGGUAAUACGUAGGUGGCAAGCGUUGUCCGGAUUUAUUGGGCGUAAAGCGCGCGCAGGUGGUUUCUUAAGUCUGAUGUGAAAGCCCACGGCUCAACCGUGGAGGGUCAUUGGAAACUGGGAGACUUGAGUGCAGAAGAGGAAAGUGGAAUUCCAAGUGUAGCGGUGAAAUGCGUAGAGAUUUGGAGGAACACCAGUGGCGAAGGCGACUUUCUGGUCUGUAACUGACACUGAGGCGCGAAAGCGUGGGGAGCAAACAGGAUUAGAUACCCUGGUAGUCCACGCCGUAAACGAUGAGUGCUAAGUGUUAGGGGGUUUCCGCCCCUUAGUGCUGCAGCUAACGCAUUAAGCACUCCGCCUGGGGAGUACGGCCGCAAGGUUGAAACUCAUGA